Perognathus longimembris pacificus (Pacific pocket mouse) is the source of this 981-nucleotide long non-coding RNA. RefSeq lists it as uncharacterized. Lineage: Eukaryota; Metazoa; Chordata; Mammalia; Rodentia; Heteromyidae. The transcript has 3 exons. The record is from RefSeq and is a predicted model, not a curated record.
GAGACAAGCACUCUUGCCACUAGGCCACAUUCCCAGUCCAGUGAGGGUUUUAAAAUUUUUAAUUUGCAACAUUUGAACUAGGCAAGCUUUACUCCUUUUUUGGUGAAUGGAGGUUUGGCAUAACUAUAUAAUUAUGGUUUACAACUGUUGACAGACUAUGAUAGGGUCUAAGAUCACAGGGAUAAGACUAGUUUUGACUGUUUCAAGCCGAUCUUAAUUAUAGAAGACUGUUAGAUAACAAAUGCAGGAGUCUGGUAUUUGGCUUUAAAGGUAGAGUUUUCUUGGUUUUGUUUGUUUACCUAGUGGUAUGAUGUUUUAGAAGACAUACUUCUCCGUAAGUUUUUUUUACUCAUGACCUUCCAUUCUUGACAGCGUUCCUGAAGGCAGCAGGAAUGACACAGGAAGGAUAAAAGCAGGCACGUCGGCAACCAGGCAACUUCCUGCAUGAAACAGAGUUCCUGAAGGCACCAGGAACAACAGGGAGGAAAAAGCAGGCAUCUCCACACCAGGCAACUUAUUGUGUGAGCUAGGGUAGGAAAACUGGACUCAAGUACGUCCUUGAAGAAUGGGUAUUUUGGAGGUUGAAUAUGACUGAGGUGUGUCCUGGACACAACCUGAAUUCUGAGUUGUUUCCUUCUCCUGCAAGAGAAAUUGCCAGACAUGGACCAAAUGAGUUUCAGGGUGUCUAAGAAACCUCCAGUUAGGCCUUCUGUGAGUGCACAGGAUAGUCAAAGGAGAGGAGACCUACUGAGAAUGGGAAAUUUACUAUAGGUCUAGGAAAACCAAGGAAAGAGCCAAGGGAGAUCCCAUGAUAUUCUAUAGUCCACUGAGGGGAGAAUGUUGAUGUGGGGGAGCAUGAUUCCUGAACCAAAAAUGAGAUGAUCCAAAUAUUGUUUUUUGGGGGCAUGAGGUGGGAGGCGAGUUGGGGGGCUUUGACUCCCCAGAGCUUAGGAACUGUCCCUGGGCUCUUGAUCCACAGCU